UACAGAGUAGAGGUCUGCGCGUUAAGUGCUGAACGAACGGGGAGUUGUCGUUCAGACGAAAAGGGUAAAACCCUUGCGGUGCAGAUCUUGCAUCCCGCUGAA
Regulatory RNA element from Ruminococcus sp. CAG:579, 102 nucleotides. It matches the Rfam family "THF (Tetrahydrofolate) riboswitch aptamer". Rfam says of the family: THF riboswitch presents a pseudoknot that joins P1-P2 and the loop of P3 and two THF binding. The record is from Rfam. NCBI's taxonomy places the organism in Bacteria, Bacillati, Bacillota, Clostridia, Eubacteriales, Oscillospiraceae.